AGGCGGGCUGGNAACCUCUCGGGGUUACAGCCUUGCUGAAUUAUUCACCCUUGUCUUUUGCGUACUUCUUGUUUCCUUGGUGGGUUCGCCCACCACUAGGACAAACAUAAACCUUUUGUAAUUGCAAUCAGCGUCAGUAACAAAUUAAUAAUUACAACUUUCAACAACGGAUCUCUUGGUUCUGGCAUCGAUGAAGAACGCAGCGAAAUGCGAUAAGUAGUGUGAAUUGCAGAAUUCAGUGAAUCAUCGAAUCUUUGAACGCACAUUGCGCCCUUUGGUAUUCCAAAGGGCAUGCCUGUUCGAGCGUCAUUUGUACCCUCAAGCUUUGCUUGGUGUUGGGCGUCUUGUCUCUAGCUUUGCUGGAGACUCGCCUUAAAGUAAUUGGCAGCCGGCCUACUGGUUUCGGAGCGCAGCACAAGUCGCACUCUCUAUCAGCAAAGGUCUAGCAUCCAUUAAGCCUUUUUUUCAACUUUUGACCUCGGAUCAGGUAGGGAUACCCGCUGAACUUAAGCAUAUCAAUAACGG
This 525-nucleotide ribosomal RNA is filed under the name fungal endophyte sp. D2-9A5-1. RNAcentral's name for it is "eukaryotic LSU rRNA". The stretch from base 156 to 309 matches the Rfam family "5.8S ribosomal RNA". Lineage: Eukaryota; Fungi. The record is from RNAcentral.